Molecule: ribosomal RNA, 482 nt
Filed under: uncultured bacterium
Lineage: Bacteria
Description: partial 16S ribosomal RNA
Rfam family: Bacterial small subunit ribosomal RNA
Source: RNAcentral
AUUGAACGCUGGCGGCAUGCCUUACACAUGCAAGUCGAACGGUAACAGGUCUUCGGAUGCUGACGAGUGGCGAACGGGUGAGUAAUACAUCGGAACGUGCCCGAUCGUGGGGGAUAACGAGGCGAAAGCUUUGCUAAUACCGCAUACGAUCUACGGAUGAAAGCGGGGGAUCUUCGGACCUCGCGCGGACGGAGCGGCCGAUGGCAGAUUAGGUAGUUGGUGGGAUAAAAGCUUACCAAGCCGACGAUCUGUAGCUGGUCUGAGAGGAUGAUCAGCCACACUGGGACUGAGACACGGCCCAGACUCCUACGGGAGGCAGCAGUGGGGAAUUUUGGACAAUGGGCGAAAGCCUGAUCCAGCCAUGCCGCGUGCAGGAUGAAGGCCUUCGGGUUGUAAACUGCUUUUGUACGGAACGAAAAGCCUCUUUCUAAUAAAGAGGGGUCAUGACGGUACCGUAAGAAUAAGCACCGGCUAACUAGGUG